GCUGAUCUGCUAAUAAAAUCUACGAAGAAGAAAACCUGUGUCUUCCGGUACUAUCAGAUUUAAGAGCCCCGGCGCGAAACAUUUAUUUUGGUGACGCGACAGUAAAUAAAGACAUUUCUGAUGUGUACAACGGGGGACAAUGGAGUAAUAAUAAUUCUCAGUGAUGAUGAGGAGGAGGAUGAAGAACACGACGUAUCAUGCAGUGAAGCCUCGGUUGUCAUAGUGGAGGUGGAGGAUAUCAAGAAGAAUGAUGUUGCGUUAUCGCAAGCUGCUCUGGACGAAGACCUGGUCGUCACGUUCUCCCGCCGCGCGGAGGUGCUGCCUCACGCCCGCUACGACUGUGCCAUUCAUCCUUUCACGGCUACAGAUUGUGAGGUCGGUUCUCCUGUGGCCAGUAACCAGCUAAUAUGUGAUCAGUGCUUCUGCUACAUCUGUGACAAGCUGGCAUCAGUGUGUGUACUGUGGGUCCAGAGCGGAGUGUGUCACUGCAACAGCCACAAAAGAAGCGACUUCUGGAACAGCCAGCGGAGCACUGGACUGCUGGGAGGACUGAAGCCUUUCAACCUCACGUUGUCUGAAAUAGAUGGUCACCUCCGACAUGCAGAGACGCUGCUCCAGAGGUUCAAGCAAGAGCUCGCUGCACGGUUCGCUACCUUCCUGAAAGGAAGGAUGUUUCAAGAAUAUGGUUUUAACCUUCCAAACCAGCCAGGCUUCGUCUUUGAUUACACGCAAGUGUACGAGUUUGUGUCAUCGUUCCUCAACCACACAGACAAUCAGAACGGCAGAGCUGCGGCCAUCUUGAGACUGGGAGCCGCAGAGCAAUUUACUAGACAUUAUCAAUCCUCAGGAGUUUACGUCUUACCAUUGCCCAUGGCCAAUGCUUACAAGGCUAAAGUGGUGCUACUGCAGAGGGUGGUGGCGUCGGUGCAGAGACAGAUGGUGAUGGAUGAUUUUACUUCAGAUUUCAUCCAAAAGCUGCAGGAGUUUUACAAAAACAUAAUUUUACCAGCUGAGCUGAAAAGCAUGAAGAACAGCCUGUGUGUUCGUCCCUGGGAUGACGUCCUGCUGGUGUCGGUGCUGAAGGGACAGAAUGUGUCGGGCGUCCGCAAAGACAAAGGCAAGAAGGACGUCCUGCUUGAACAGAGUCCUGUAGUUCAACUGAGAACUGAGCUGCUGCAGCGACAGCACAGGUACAGAGAGUUGUGUCGCUACCUACGAGUUGUCCAGACUGAUGAUCCCAAACUCGUCCAGCCGCUUCACGACCUCAUGCCUUACUUCAUGUGCAUGGACGGAGGCUUCAUCUCGGCCUGCCACAGUUUGGUGCCGUCGGUGAACCCCCCCGCCUCGAGCUUCACGCCGCUCAUCUUCCUCUUUUAUCUCCGCAUCUUUGAAACGGCGAUGGCACCGAAGCGGGCGGUCGGUCACAUGACAGAGCUCUGCCACCCUGAUGUCCCAUGGGAGCCAAUUAAAGGGGCUGUUGCACUGAAGCGUGCUGAGCUGGUGAAGUUUGCUCUGCGGGUUCAGAGAUGCUGCUCGGCUGUCUACGCUGAUUCUCAGUGUUGGCACCGUUUACUCACACUGGUCAACUCCCCCUGUGGGUCAGUCACCGCUCUGCAGGCCCCGAGCCCACAGUUUCUACACGAAGCAAAGGAUGUUGUGAUUUCGAUACUGCUGAAGCCGCCCGGGACAAAUAUACAGAUCCCACGUUUCUUUCAGGAGGUUUACCCAGAUCAGGCCUUGUUGCUGCUGGCUACAGGAGCGUUAGGGUUGAGAAUCCUCAGUGCUGCUCUGACUCCAGCUCUCCCUGUUCUCAACGCAUUCCAGGAGAACCAGUGGGCCCUCUGGUGGCUGUGGGAGAGUUUGUCCUCCAACGUAGAACGUCUCAACUCCUUCUCACAGGAGCUCACACAGGAAGUGGAUAACGCCACAGGUGGGGAUAGUUCAUUUUCCUUUCUCCGCGCUAUCAUACUCACUCUGUCUUCUUCAGCACGGAACUGGGACCAGUGAGUCUUAUUCAUUUUAAACCACAAACUUCCAGCUGUAGAGUUUUUACCAUUUCCCUUUUUAAAGGGGAUCCUAAGAGAUGUUAAGCUCUGAUCUGUCGCCCCUUUUCCCCUCCAUGUCCUCUCCUGGUGUGGUGGUGAUCAGCACCUACUGCAGCGCAGCAGCAGUUAAUCUCGUCUCUUCCCAAGAGAAGGACCAGUCCGAGUGUUAACUAUUGUCCUGAUUGCACAUCACUACGCCUCAACAUCGUGGAAUCGCCACAGAGUCGAGCACUGAGAGAUUUACACAUCACACAGAAUAAACCUGUAAAGACCAGGUAGUGUCGGCAUAAUGAAGAGAACAAUAUCUUCACUGUAAAUUACAUUAUUAACACCUCAGAGACACUAUAUUCUACCUUAUUCUUUAAUAAUCUACUUUCCAGUCUGAUCUGAGCAGGAUCAAAAAAGUUGAAUUCUGCUCUGUGGGAUUUUGUUCUAUUUGAACUGAAUUAUGUUUACUUCCUGGAAAUACUUUUAGAUAUUCACUAUUUUAUUGAGACAUUUAUGUAACUGUAAAUAAAAAAAAAGAGAACACCUUUAUGAA
Pleuronectes platessa (European plaice) is the source of this 2586-nucleotide RNA transcript. RefSeq lists it as uncharacterized. The transcript is spliced from 20 exons. The record is from RefSeq and is a predicted model, not a curated record. Lineage: Eukaryota; Metazoa; Chordata; Actinopteri; Pleuronectiformes; Pleuronectidae.